This 464-nucleotide long non-coding RNA is filed under the name Homo sapiens (human). RNAcentral's name for it is "non-protein coding lnc-DAD1-2:25". The record is from RNAcentral. Lineage: Eukaryota; Metazoa; Chordata; Mammalia; Primates; Hominidae.
GACAGCCUCAGACUCAGGGCUGGGACCCUUGGGACUCAAAAGAGAGAAAAGGUGGAGAAAAGAGAAAGCUACUAUUUUCUUCAUUUUGCCCCUGCUAACAUCCAAUGCACUUAGGAGCCUCGAUGUCUGCUCUCCAAGAGAUGUCUGAUCUGAAAGCAUGUUGUGGUCCGCUACACACAAGAGCAAAAGAAGAGCAGGAAGGAGCUCAGUGCCAAGACCAUAGCCACAGGAAGAAAACCAGCUCUUAGGGCUGCAGCUCUAAAGACAGGCCAGGUGGAGAGAGGAUGCCAGACAGAUAUUUGAGCAGAACAAAGAGAGCCAACAGGAUGAAGGCAUUCCCUGGCUGGUUGGACAAGCAACUGAAGAACAGGAACAGAAGUGAAUGAAAAGAGAAGAUGCUGUGUUUGUGUUUUCUCUUGGUUAGAAUGCUGUGAGUCAGGACCUUAGCUGCUGGGUGUCCUGGG